ACUCCUACGGGAGGCAGCAGUGGGGAAUAUUGCACAAUGGGCGCAAGCCUGAUGCAGCCAUGCCGCGUGUGUGAAGAAGGCCUUCGGGUUGUAAAGCACUUUCAGUUGUGAGGAAGGUGGUGUCGUUAAUAGCGGCAUCAUUUGACGUUAGCAACAGAAGAAGCACCGGCUAACUCCGUGCCAGCAGCCGCGGUAAUACGGAGGGUGCGAGCGUUAAUCGGAAUUACUGGGCGUAAAGCGCGCGUAGGUGGCUUGAUAAGCCGGUUGUGAAAGCCCCGGGCUCAACCUGGGAACGGCAUCCGGAACUGUCAAGCUAGAGUGCAGGAGAGGAAGGUAGAAUUCCCGGUGUAGCGGUGAAAUGCGUAGAGAUCGGGAGGAAUACCAGUGGCGAAGGCGGCCUUCUGGACUGACACUGACACUGAGGUGCGAAAGCGUGGGUAGCAAACAGGAUUAGAUACCCUGGUAGGCUCUG
RNAcentral lists this ribosomal RNA (472 nucleotides) under uncultured bacterium. Its description in RNAcentral is "bacterial SSU rRNA". It matches the Rfam family "Bacterial small subunit ribosomal RNA", at positions 335 to 799 of the family's 1533-position model. The record is from RNAcentral.